GCAAAGAGGGGGGGGGGCGUGGGUGUAAGGCGUGGGGUGGGGAGGUUGGCCGGGAUUAGGGAGCUUAAAGUGCGGGGAGGGUGGUUGUCGGGUUGUUAGGGAAAACUCACAACGCAAUGGUGGGCGUGCGGGCGAUACGGGCAGACUGGAGUACUGCAGGGGAGACUGGAAGUCCUGGGGUAGCGGUGGAAUGCGCAGAUAUCAGGAGGAACACCGGUGGCGAAGGCGGGUCUCUGGGCAGUAACUGACGCUGAGGAGCGAAAGCGUGGGGAGCGAACAGGAUUAGAUACCCGGGUAGUC
RNAcentral lists this ribosomal RNA (300 nucleotides) under uncultured Natronococcus sp. Its description in RNAcentral is "bacterial SSU rRNA". The stretch from base 55 to 300 matches the Rfam family "Bacterial small subunit ribosomal RNA", at positions 550 to 795 of the family's 1533-position model. The record is from RNAcentral. Lineage: Archaea; Methanobacteriati; Methanobacteriota; Halobacteria; Halobacteriales; Natrialbaceae.